This is a long non-coding RNA of Pollicipes pollicipes, 282 nucleotides long. RefSeq lists it as uncharacterized. The record is from RefSeq and is a predicted model, not a curated record. NCBI's taxonomy places the organism in Eukaryota, Metazoa, Arthropoda, Thecostraca, Pollicipedomorpha, Pollicipedidae. The transcript is spliced from 3 exons.
CUGCAUCGUAGAGAAAAUCGCGUUUGAGUUCGCCUCCUGCACUGGCGAAAAGAGCCAUGGCCAGGGAGCGCAGUGAGAGCAGCAGCUCGGGAUCAGGUUCGGAAGCAGCCAAGAAAAAGAAGCCAGUUGAGCCCAAGAAAAAGGAAAAAGAGCGAGGCCGUGAUAAGGAGCGUAAGAAGCGGGCCAAGAGUGGCAGUCCAUCAUCAAGUGAUAGCAGUAGAAGCUCGUCCGGCUCAUCGUCCAGCUCGAGCAGCGCCAGCUCGCGCAGCAGCAGCUCCUCCA